Molecule: long non-coding RNA, 299 nt
Organism: Girardinichthys multiradiatus
Lineage: Eukaryota; Metazoa; Chordata; Actinopteri; Cyprinodontiformes; Goodeidae
Exons: 3
Source: RefSeq, a predicted model, not a curated record
GUUCACCAGAGACGUAACAAGUUUGGAGACUACCCCCACCUACUCCAGGGUCAGCAUCCGGAUCACGGUCACUUUCAGCUGUACCUCCGUCUAUCCAAGACCCAGUUUGAGGACCUGCUGCCCCGUGUUGGGGGACGAAUCAGCCUCCGGGACUCGAACUACAGGCGCUGCAUCCCCGCUGCAGAACACCUGCCCAUCUGUCUUUGAGAGCGAUUAGGAGAUCCGCCAGGGGGGAGGAGAAGGUAGAUGAUGGAUAGUCUGGGAGCGUGUCGGAUGCAGCAGCCUAAGCAGAGAGACCC